RNAcentral lists this long non-coding RNA (212 nucleotides) under Sorghum bicolor (sorghum). Its description in RNAcentral is "long non-coding RNA (SBIC_LNC004422)". Lineage: Eukaryota; Viridiplantae; Streptophyta; Magnoliopsida; Poales; Poaceae. The record is from RNAcentral.
CAAAGAAAAGGAUCCAAAUGAAAUCAACAUCUAGACUUAGGGUUUUAUCUGACAGAAUUCCACGAGUUUUGGUGUUUGUCUAUUUCUGCAGGGGGUUAUCAGGAAAUAAGAAAGAAAGGCCCACAUGUCGGGAUUACAUAGAGAUAUCAACCCACCGCGCAAUUUUCUACCAUCUAGAAGACUCCAGAAGCCACGAGACCGAAGCGGAGGCG